Molecule: long non-coding RNA, 1142 nt
Filed under: Phasianus colchicus (ring-necked pheasant)
Lineage: Eukaryota; Metazoa; Chordata; Aves; Galliformes; Phasianidae
Description: lncRNA (ENSPCLG00000006343.1)
Source: RNAcentral
CCGCUCACAUUAUUAAACUCAUGUUGGGAGUACUUAUUCUCUGAGAACUGUUUCAGCAAGGUCACCUUACCUCUUUGUAUCCUGUGAUGGCAGAAAGAAAACUUUGACAAAUAGAGGACUCCAAACAUUUUUAUCUCCUUUAAUCUAUGUGAAGUUAGAGCUGCUGUUUUAUGAACGUUUCAGCUGCCUGAGAAACAGAGGAGUCAUGAGCUACUUGUAUUCUUAAUGGUAUCUUGAGUAUAUGGCUUACUAAAGAUCACCUGAGAUGGAGAGAGAUUCACAGGAUUUUGGAAAGAGAAUGAAGAGUUACUUCUUCUUCCUCAGGAAUACCUCAGGAAGGGAAAGAAUUACUUCUGUUCUGCAGCUGUGCCCACAUGUAAUGUAGUGUUUUUAAUGUUAAAAUGAAAAUUAAUGAUUCCUCCCUGAGAUUCCUUAAUCUGCUUGAAAGGUGGGAGGGUUCCCCUUCAGAUUUAUCUGAAACUGUCAAUGAUUUUGUAACACUGGGUUAGAACUUUUAUUAAACGCUUGUCAUAGCAGCAGUUACUUGCCAAAGGACAUUAUUUAAUAUGAGCUUCUGGAGGAUUGAGAGAAAUGUUAAGUCAGAAUGAUCCUGAACGAGUUAUCUAGUCUAUCAGAGCCAGAGGAUAGAAUGAUCAGCUAUGUCUAGAUAAUUUGUGACAGAUAUAGGUACCCUGUUCUGAAAAAAUACCAACAAACCAAAUGUUAUAGUUGGUGUGUUUUGUUUUGUUUUCCAUGUAGCAUAUUCCAAGGUUUACCUAUUUUCAAAAUUAACAAGUUUUCCCUAAAAUCUAACCCUUCUGCAAAAAAAGUUGAGUGUACAUUGUUUUAAUAAGGUAGAUAUAUGGCACAAUUGAUCACAGAUGUCUUACUGCUGGCAUUUGAACAGUCGUUAAUAUGCUGUUCAUGUUCUUGACCAAAACACCCACUGUUCUUUCAACACUGUCAUGAUGGCUUUAACUUAAACUAUUUUAGUUCUCUGUCUGUUCUUAAACUUUCUUGUUUGGACCUAGUUCUGUAAUACUGGGGGUUUAUCUAAGAAUAAGAUUAAAAAUUUGUCUAAGAGUAAAAUCGUACAACUUCUUCUUAAUAAACAUUGCCAACAUGAUUAUGAAAUGUUUAAU